This 500-nucleotide ribosomal RNA is filed under the name uncultured bacterium. RNAcentral's name for it is "bacterial SSU rRNA". It matches the Rfam family "Bacterial small subunit ribosomal RNA", at positions 18 to 518 of the family's 1533-position model. The record is from RNAcentral.
UAUGGCUCAGGAUGAACGCUGGCGGCGUGCCUAACACAUGCAAGUCGAACGAAGCUUCUUUCUGAUUUUUCGGAAUGAUGAAAAGGAUGACUGAGUGGCGGACGGGUGAGUAACGCGUGGAUAACCUGCCCUUUGCAGGGGGAUAACAGCCGGAAACGGCUGCUAAUACCGCAUAAGCGCACAGCACCGCAUGGUGCAGUGUGAAAAACUCCGGUGGCAAAGGAUGGAUCCGCGUCUGAUUAGCUAGUUGGCGGGGUAACAGCCCACCAAGGCGACGAUCAGUAGCCGGCCUGAGAGGGUGAACGGCCACAUUGGGACUGAGACACGGCCCAGACUCCUACGGGAGGCAGCAGUGGGGAAUAUUGCACAAUGGGGGAAACCCUGAUGCAAGCAACGCCGCGUGAGCGAAGAAGUAUUUCGGUAUGUAAAGCUCUAUCAGCAGGGAAGAAAAUGACGGUACCUGACUAAGAAGCUCCGGCUAAAUACGUGCCAGCAGCCGC